This 462-nucleotide unclassified non-coding RNA is filed under the name uncultured Alteromonadaceae bacterium. RNAcentral's name for it is "partial 16S-23S ribosomal RNA intergenic spacer". The record is from RNAcentral. Lineage: Bacteria; Pseudomonadati; Pseudomonadota; Gammaproteobacteria; Alteromonadales; Alteromonadaceae.
CCUCCUUACCAUUACGUCGAAAGACGCACUUGAUGCAGUGCCUACACAGAUUGUUUUGUUUAUUUAUAGACUCGCUUCGCGAGUGUCGCGAUUAACUGCUUUACCGGAAGGGAACCCGUAACGGGCCUGGCUUCCUGACAGUUAAUCUGCUCGCUAAAGUGGUAGUUGUUUUAACGUAGAAUGCUAAUUAAUGAUCGCAUCAUUGAUUAGUGUUUUUUAAAAACACUAAUGUUCUUUAACAAUUUGGAAAGCUGAUAUUAAUAGUAAUCAAUCAAAAUUGAGUAACUGAGAAGUCGAAAGACGUACUUUUUACUCUACUUGACUGAAUUGCUUGUUAUCAAUUUAUUGAUAGCAAGGCAAUUCUUCCGAUUAGCUUGUCAUCCAUACGACAUAACUUAGACAGAAGUCAAAAGGCUGUUUGGGGUUGUAUGGGUUAAGUGACAAAGCGUAUACGGUGGAUGC